AUGGAAACUCCUUUCCUCCCCGCGCUCAACGUCAGGCGUGUGAAAGGAAUAUUUGCCCGGGUGCAAACCGAGGCCCGUGAAGCGGAGUGUUCCGCUUCCUAACAGGGCGUGAGAGUCAACGUGGAGCGAGGCCUGGGCGUAAGCGAGGGGUUUUGUGUGUGUGUGUGUGUGUUGUGUGGUGGGGCCGAAUUUUCCUGCGCUGACCAUCUUUUUCUUGCAGGUCAACCUUCUGAAUAUGCACGCCAAGUGCCCCUUCUGCCCGGCGUGGCACCUUCCUGGGGGACUGGCCCUGGGACCUUAGCUGUCCUCGGAGAAGGGUCUGGGAGUAUGGUGUGUGGGGCACGCUCUGGAGCCGGGAAUGUCGCUGCUGCUUGGGCCGCAGGUCGAAGAACAGAAGGCGGCUGCUUCCUUGUCGGCAUGCCCAUUACCCAGCUGGAAAGAGGCAUCUGCUUGUAAUGGGAUAUCCCACUGGCGGAGCUUGGUGAAGCAAAGCCGUGCUGAAGAUGAAGCCAAUGUAAUGUUGGAAUGGAUCAACAGGGAACUGCACAUCAAAGUCUGCUGUCCUAUUGAUUUGGGCAGUGAACUGCCAUGCUGGUUAACUGAAUCACAGGACAGUCCUACUUGUCUGAAAAAUAAUAUCCUAGCACAUACCUCAGAUGGGAAACUUGAUACAGAAAAGAAAACAUUGCAAAACAUGCCAGUAAUAACCACAACCAAGUAUAGAUUUAGAAGAGGAAACUUUGCUACACAAAGAUGAUAUUGUCCAGGAUUCCUCUGCAGGCCCCUGCAGGGAGUUUUUGAGCCCCUUCUAUCCAAGAUGGGAUGUAUCACCUGAAACAGCCACAGAAUGGCGAUAAAGGCGGAGAAGUACUGAUGCUUCCUCACCCUUACUCUACCACAAGGUAGGCCUUGAUAGCAGCUCUAACCUGUGUCCAAUUA
Long non-coding RNA from Pseudonaja textilis, 939 nucleotides. The record is from Ensembl. NCBI's taxonomy places the organism in Eukaryota, Metazoa, Chordata, Lepidosauria, Squamata, Elapidae.